GGAUUGUGGCUCAGUGGCAGAGCACUUGCCUCGCACGGGUGAGGCACUGGGUUCGAUCCUCAGCACCA
Molecule: transfer RNA, 68 nt
Filed under: Marmota monax (woodchuck)
Lineage: Eukaryota; Metazoa; Chordata; Mammalia; Rodentia; Sciuridae
Description: tRNA.Ala
Source: RNAcentral